UCGCCUGUUUAUCAAAAACAUAGUUAUCAGAAGUUAUUGGUAAUUUGUUCUGCUCAAUGAAUAAUUAAAUAGCCGCAGUACUCUGACUGUGCAAAGGUAGCAUAAUCAUUUGGCUUAUAAUUGAAGUCUUGUAUGAAUGAAAUGAUGGGGGACAACUGUAUCAUAAAUAUUGUAUAAAAUUACCUGAGAAGUGCAAAUGCUUCUAUUUAAAUAAUAGACGAGAAGACCCUUGAAAUUUUAAGAAGAGUGUUAAUAAGGAUUUUUGUUGGGGCAACAAUGUAACAGAAAACUUACAUUUUGAACAUGAAAUAAAAUGGAUUGAUUAAAUUACUCUAGGGAUAACAGCGUAAUAUUAAAAUGUUUGCGACCUCGAUGUUGGAUUAGGAAACAAAAGC
Molecule: ribosomal RNA, 395 nt
Filed under: Basedowena elfina
Lineage: Eukaryota; Metazoa; Mollusca; Gastropoda; Stylommatophora; Camaenidae
Description: partial 16S ribosomal RNA
Rfam family: Bacterial large subunit ribosomal RNA
Source: RNAcentral